CUCAGGAUGAACGCUGGCGGCGUGCUUAACACAUGCAAGUCGAACGAAGCACUUAAGAUGAUUUCUUCGGAUUGAAUCUUUGUGACUUAGUGGCGGACGGGUGAGUAACGCGUGGGCAACCUGCCUCUGUCUGGGGGAUAACAGUUAGAAAUGACUGCUAAUACCGCAUAAGCGCACAUUACCGCAUGGUAGAGUGUGAAAAACGUUAGUGGACAGAGAUGGACCCGCGUUAGAUUAGCCAGUUGGUGGGGUAACGGCCUACCAAAGCGACGAUCUAUAGCCGGCCUGAGAGGGCGACCGGCCACAUUGGGACUGAGACACGGCCCAAACUCCUACGGGAGGCAGCAGUGGGGAAUAUUGCACAAUGGGGGAAACCCUGAUGCAGCGACGCCGCGUGAGUGAAGAAGUAUUUCGGUAUGUAAAGCUCUAUCAGCAGGGAAGAAAAUGACGGUACCUGACUAAGAAGCCCCGGCUAACUACGUGCCAGCCGCAGC
Molecule: ribosomal RNA, 494 nt
Filed under: uncultured bacterium
Lineage: Bacteria
Description: bacterial SSU rRNA
Rfam family: Bacterial small subunit ribosomal RNA
Source: RNAcentral